Long non-coding RNA from Homo sapiens (human), 524 nucleotides. RefSeq lists it as uncharacterized. The record is from RefSeq and is a predicted model, not a curated record. The transcript has 3 exons. Lineage: Eukaryota; Metazoa; Chordata; Mammalia; Primates; Hominidae.
CCUCAGUGAAAUUUAUAAGUUCAUCAUUCACAAGUUCUGCUUUCCACAUUAUUGUGGGACACAAUUCUGGUUAUCAUGGGAUUGGGACUCGUGGCUUUAUAAGCAGCAGCAGCAGAGAGACCUGAGCUAGCAUACUCAGCUCCCUCACCAUGUGAUAUCGCCUGCCACCUUGAGAUUCUACAGAGAGUCCCACCAGCAAGAAUGCCCUCACCAGAUGUGGCCCCUCGACCUUGGACUUCUCAGCCUCUAUAACUGUGACCAAAACAGUCUCCACUCUGGACACUCCAACCAGACCAAGAGGAAAGAGCUAAUCAUACUCCCUUUGGGGGUUCCCCAACUAUACAGCCGAGCCAAAUUGCCAGACAGUGAAGCUCAGAGUUGACAAGCCUUACAACGUACAAUGAACUUCUAAUCAGUGUUUUCAUCUUCCUUUUAAAUAUGAGCAAAGAAGGGCCAUCAGAUAUCAAAGGAAAGCAUCUAAGAUAAAGCACAUACAACACAACACAACAAACACAAACUAUUCA